This is a non-coding RNA of Beta vulgaris subsp. vulgaris (sugar beet), 107 nucleotides long. Lineage: Eukaryota; Viridiplantae; Streptophyta; Magnoliopsida; Caryophyllales; Amaranthaceae. The record is from Rfam.
AGGUUGUGGUGUGGACAUUGUCUUUGCAGGUCUUUAAACCAAUUCCAUGCUUCCUUUAGUGUUUCAUCAGGUUCUUGUUGGAAGGUAGCAAGUUUAUGUCUGAUUAU